This 26-nucleotide non-coding RNA is filed under the name Mus musculus (house mouse). The record is from RNAcentral. Lineage: Eukaryota; Metazoa; Chordata; Mammalia; Rodentia; Muridae.
UCGGAUCUCACGGAUGUCUGCUGCUU